Hevea brasiliensis (rubber tree) is the source of this 1090-nucleotide long non-coding RNA. RefSeq lists it as uncharacterized. Lineage: Eukaryota; Viridiplantae; Streptophyta; Magnoliopsida; Malpighiales; Euphorbiaceae. The transcript is spliced from 3 exons. The record is from RefSeq and is a predicted model, not a curated record.
UUAAUCAUUCACUCUCCUAUAAGAUGCACAGAUACCCAAAGGGCAGAGAUCCAAGAACUCAUUUCAAUCUAAAUUCCUGUUGAGUUUUAAGUCUUUUCUUUUUCGCUUUUUGGAUUCAAUUCUGGUCCAAAAAUGCCUCUAGGAACUGUUGAAGUCCUACUUGUUGGUGCUAAGGGUCUUGAAAACACUGAUUUUCUCAAUGGCGUGGACCCUUAUGUCGUCCUCGCUUGCCGUACCCAGGAGCAGAAAAGCAGUGUUGCUUCAGGUAUUUAUGUCUCUAAUCGCUCUGAAUUCUUAGCUGCAUUUCUAAUUUUUACUUAUCAGAUUAGAUUAGAAAAGAUCAAGUAAUAUGUUAAUACUUGCUUUGGUGUGGUAAGCACAAGAGAUUAUUGGCAAAACUAUGCCUUCAAUAUGUAUGCAAUUGGCCUUGCAGUCAAGUGGAGCGUUUGUACCCAAGAUGGAGAUCAUACCCUUCUCCUUAAAAUUUCUGUUGUGCAAAAGAAAAGUUAUACAAUUUUGUGCAAUAUUGACAAAUAUAAAAUCCUACAGGGAAAGGAGUGAACCAGAAUGGAAUGAGAAAUUCUCAUUUGAGGUAUCAGAUGGUGACACAGAACUCACAUUGAAAAUCAUGGACAGUGAUGUUGGUGCUGCAGAUGAUUUUGUUGGAGAAGCAACGUGAGUGCAAGUUCCCCAUCUAUAUGUAACAAAUUAGAAUCUUCAUAAAUUCGGUUGAAUUUUCUAUGCAACACUGAAAAUAUAAAAUAUUGAUUACGGGUUCUGUGAUCCAUUCAGCAUUCCCUUGAGCCAUUGUUUUUGGAAGGAAACCUCCCAUCUACGGCGUACAAAGUUGUCAAAGAACAAGAAUACAAGGGAGAGAUUACAGUGGGCCUCACCUUCACCCCAGAGGUAGAGAUGGACAACGUCGGAGUGGAUGGAUACGAUUUUCGGUUAUAAUAUUAACUAGCAUCUUGGUGUGGAAAUGGCAAGGACUGCUUUUGGUUUGGAGAUGGCAAAGAGACUCUGUUUUUAACGUCGAUGUGUUGUGAGAACUUGUUUUGAUGUUGCAAAUAAUACCGAUGUGUUUUAAGAA